GCAAGAUCCAGCAAGAAAGGCAUUCCAGCUUGGAUGGAAGGAAGAUCCGUCCAGGUUACUCCUAGGUGACCGAGGCUUUACCAGGCCUGGAGGAGGAAGGCGGAUGCCCUCUUCAGUGGUGCCUUGUGGCGCUGGAGCAGUUCUGAUAUGCUGAGAGUGCAGAAGGCAGUGCCUGACAAGUCAAAUCUGAUGAGAACAGGAUGUCUAAAUGAAAAAGCAAGACUGAGGAAAA
This 232-nucleotide long non-coding RNA is filed under the name Gallus gallus (chicken). The record is from RNAcentral. Lineage: Eukaryota; Metazoa; Chordata; Aves; Galliformes; Phasianidae.